CAGCAGCCGCGGGAAUACGGAGGGAGCUAGCGUUGUUCGGAAUUACUGGGCGUAAAGCGCACGUAGGCGGUUAUUCAAGUCAGAGGUGAAAGCCCGGGGCUCAACCCCGGAACUGCCUUUGAAACUAGAUGACUGGAAUCUUGGAGAGGUCAGUGGAAUUCCGAGUGUAGAGGUGAAAUUCGUAGAUAUUCGGAAGAACACCAGUGGCGAAGGCGACUGACUGGACAAGUAUUGACGCUGAGGUGCGAAAGCGUGGGGAGCAAACAGGAUUAGAUACCCGUGUAGUCCCUGUCUCUUAUAC
RNAcentral lists this ribosomal RNA (301 nucleotides) under uncultured bacterium. RNAcentral's name for it is "partial 16S ribosomal RNA". It matches the Rfam family "Bacterial small subunit ribosomal RNA", at positions 509 to 807 of the family's 1533-position model. The record is from RNAcentral.